GACUCUUAGCAUAGGACCUCUUGGCUCAAACCUCAAUGAAGAGCGCAAUUAGUUGCCAGAAUUAAUGAGAAUUGCAGGACACAUUGAUCACUGACACUUCAAAUGCCUUUGGGACACUGGGGCUAUGGCUUUCUGAGGGUUG
Molecule: ribosomal RNA, 142 nt
Filed under: Tursiops truncatus (common bottlenose dolphin)
Lineage: Eukaryota; Metazoa; Chordata; Mammalia; Artiodactyla; Delphinidae
Description: 5.8S ribosomal RNA (ENSTTRG00000021946.1)
Rfam family: 5.8S ribosomal RNA
About the family: 5.8S ribosomal RNA (5.8S rRNA) is a component of the large subunit of the eukaryotic ribosome.
Source: Rfam by way of RNAcentral